GACGAACGCUGGCGGCGUGCUUAACACAUGCAAGUCGAACGGUAAGGCCCUUCGGGGUACACGAGUGGCGAACGGGUGAGUAACACGUGGGUGAUCUGCCCUGCACUUCGGGAUAAGCCUGGGAAACUGGGUCUAAUACCGGAUAGGACCACUGCCUGCAUGGGUGGUGGUGGAAAGCUUUUGCGGGGUGGGAUGGGCCCGCGGCCUAUCAGCUUGUUGGUGGGGUGAUGGCCUACCAAGGCGACGACGGGUAGCCGGCCUGAGAGGGUGACCGGCCACACGGGGACUGAGAUACGGCCCAGACUCCUACGGGAGGCAGCAGUGGGGAAUAUUGCACAAGGGGCGCAAGCCUGAUGCAGCGACGCCGCGUGAGGGAUGACGGCCUUCGGGUUGUAAACCUCUUUCAGCACCGACGAAGCGCAAGUGACGGUAGGUGCAGAAGAAGGACCGGCCAACUACGUGCCAGCCGCCGCCGUAA
Molecule: ribosomal RNA, 478 nt
Filed under: uncultured bacterium
Lineage: Bacteria
Description: partial 16S ribosomal RNA
Rfam family: Bacterial small subunit ribosomal RNA
Source: RNAcentral